ACUGCGAAGAUAGAAGAUUGAAGACUCCGGCUCGUGUCCGGAAGGUACUUUCCUUGGGGUGGAAGGCAAGCUUGGCAAUACUGAUAUGUAGAUCUCCUACCAUUGUAACCGACUCUGUGUAACCCUAGCCUCUCCGGUGUCUAUAUAAACCGGAGGGCUUUAGUCCGUAGGACACAACAUACAUUACAACAAUCAUACCAUAGGCUAGCUUCUAGGGUUUAGCCUCCUUGAUCUCGUGGUAGAUCUACUCUUGUACUACACAUAUCAUCAAUAUUAAUCAAGCAGGACGUAGGGUUUUACCUCCAUCGAGAGGGCCCGAACCUGGGUAAAAACAUCGUGUCCCUUGUCUCCUGUUACCAUCCGCCUAGACGCACAGUUCGGGACCCCCUACCCGAGAUCCGCCGGUUUUGACACCGACAUUGGUGCUUUCAUUGAGAGUUCCUCUGUGCCGUCACCAAUAGGCUUGAUGGCAUCUUCAACCAACAACGCUGUCCAGGGUGAGACUUUUCUCCCCGGACAGAUCUUCGUAUUCGGCGGCUUCGCACUGCGGGCCAAUUCACUUGGCCAUCUAGAGCAGAUCGAAGCUAUGCCCCUGGCCGUCAGGUCAGAUUCGGAAGCUUAAACUUCACGGCCGAUGUCCGCGGGGACUUGAUCUUCGACGGACUCGAGCCGCAACCAAGCGCGCCGCACUAUGACGAUGGGCACGAUCUAGCUCUACCGCCGGACAGUGCCUUGGUGGCCGCACACGGAUCCGCUUCGGCCAUUAGCCCGGAGCCGAUCGCCUAGGUCGAGGGCCAGUGGAUAGACGCCGCCCCGGGGGCUUCAACAUCCACGGCGAUGGAGCCAAACACUGAUCUUGUCCCCUGCGAAACCCGUGAUUCCGAGGUGCCGGACUCCUCGCCGGACUCCGGACCUCCCGUGCCCCUACCAAUCGAUCCGGAUUGGGCGCCGGUUAUGGAAUUCACCACCGCGGACAUUUUCCAACACUCGCCUUUUGGCGAUAUCCUGAAUUCACUGAAGCAUCUCUCGCUAUCAGGAGAAUCCUGGCCGGACUAUGGCCAGGAUGGUUGGGGUACGGACGACGAAGAAAUUCAGAUCCCACCCACCACCCACUUUGUAGCCACUGUCGAUGAUUUAACCGACAUGCUAGACUUCGACUCCGACGACAUCGACGCCAUGGACGACGAUGUUGGAGACGAACAGGAGCCAGCACCUACAGGGCACUGGAAGACCACCUCGUCAUACGACAUAUAUAUGGUGGACACCCCGAAAGACGGGGAUGGCGAAGAAGCAGCGGAGGUAGAUUCUCUAAAGAAACAGCCCAAACGCCGUCGUCAGCGGCGCCGCUCUAAAUCCCGCCACAGCAAGAAUGGAGAUUCCGGCACAGGAGAUAAUAAUACUCCGGAGAGUGCCGAAGACAAUCCCCUCCAGCCAGACUCAGCGCAGGAGGAUGCAGAAGCAAGCCCCCACGAGAGGGCGGCACACGAAGGGGUUGAGGAUGAUAACUAUAUGCCUCCCUCCGAAGACGAAGCAAGCCUCAACGAUGAUGAAUUCGUCGUACCUGAGGAUCCCGUUGAACAAGAGCGCUUCAAGUGCAGGCUUAUCGCCACAUCAAACAGCCUAAAGAAAAAGCAGCAAUAGCUCCAAGCUGAUCAAGAUCUGCUGGCCGAUCAAUGGAUCGAGGUCCUCGCGGCCGAAGAGUAUAAACUCGAACGCCCCUCCAAAAGUUACCCAAGACGCAAGCUGCUCCCCCGAUUAGAGGAGGAAGCAUACAUACCUUCAUCACCAGCGCAUGAUAUGGUUGACCGACCACCCCGUGGUCAUGACAGAGAGGCACCCAGGCCCCCAGCCAAGACCGUACCCCGGCAUCGCUCCAAAAGUACGAAGCCAAGAGGGAACGCGCCGGACUUGCGAGACAUAUUGGAGGACAAGGCAAGGCAAUCCAGAUCCAUCUACGAAUCACGUGGGCGCCCUACGACCCACGACGAAUACCGUCGCGCCGGAUAUAACAACGCCGGCCGGGCCGAACACAGCAGACAGCGCUCUCUCGAGCUGCGUCGCGAUAUUGCUCAAUAUAGGGGCGCCGCACACCCUCUAUGCUUCACUGACGAAGUAAUGGAUCAUCAGAUCCCCGAAGGGUUUAAACGCGUAAACAUCGAAUCCUACGAUGGCACAACAGACCCCGCGGUUUGGAUCGAAGACUAUCUUCUCAACAUUCACAUGGCCCGCGGCGAUGAUCUCCACGCCAUCAAAUAUCUCCCACUCAAGCUUAAAGGACCAGCUCGGCAUUGGCUAAACAGCUUGCCCGCAGAGUCAAUUGGGUGCUGGGAAGUCCUGGAAGCCGCAUUCCUCGACAAAUUUCAGGGCACGUAUGUGCGACCACCAGACGCCGAUGACCUAAGCCACAUUAUUCAGCAGCCAGACGAAUCGGCCAGACAAUUCUGGACACGGUUCUUGACAAAGAAAAACCAAAUUGUCGACUGUCCGGAUGUAGAGGCCCUUGCAGCCUUCAAACAUAACAUCCAGGACGAAUGGCUAGCCCGGCACUUGGGGCAGGAAAAGCCGAAAUCCAUGGCAGCCCUCACAUCAUUAAUGACCCGCUUCUGCGCGGGAGAGGACAGCUGGCUAGCUCGUAGCAACAACCUCCGUAAAAAUUCUGGUAGUCCGGAUACCAAGGACAACAACGGCAGGUCACGUCGAAACAAAAACAAGUGCCGCAUUAACGGCGACGAUAAGGAGGAUACGGCAGUCAAUGCCGGAUUCCGAGGCUCUAAACCCGGUCAGUGGAAGAAGCCAUUCAAAAGAACCACUCCGGGUCCGUCCAAUCUGGACCGAAUACUCGACCGCUUAUGCCAGAUACAUGGCACCUCUGAAAAGCCAGCUAACCACACCAGUAGAGAUUGCUGGGUGUUCAAGCAGGCCGGCAAGUUAAUUGCCGAAAACAAUGACAAGGGGCUAAAUAGCGAUGACGAGGAAGAGACCCGACCGCCGAACAACAGAGGACAGAAGGGUUUCCACCCACAAGUGCGGUCGGUGAAUAUGAUAUACGCGACCCACAUACCCAAGAGGGAGAGGAAACGCGCACUCAGGGACGUCUAUGCGAUGGAGCCACUCGCCCCAAAGUUCAAUCCAUGGUCCUCUUGUCCGAUCACUUUCGAUCGAAGAGACCAUCCGACCAGCAUACGUCAUGGCGGAUUCGCCACAUUGGUUUUAGACCCAAUCGUCGAUGGAUUUCACCUCACAAGAGUCCUGAUGGACGGCGGCAGUAGCCUGAACCUGCUUUAUCAGGAUACAGUGCGCAAAAUGGGCAUAGACCCAUCAAGGAUCAAACCUACAAAGACAACCUUUAAAGGUGUCAUCCCAGGAGUGGAGGCCAACUGUACAGGCUCAGUCACACUGGAAGUGGUCUUCGGAUCCCCGGAUAAUUUCCAGAGCGAAGAGUUAAUCUUCGACAUAGUCCCGUUUCGCAGCAGCUAUCACGCUCUGCUCGGACGAACCGCGUUUGCAAAAUUCAACGUGGUGCCGCAUUAUGCAUACCUAAAGCUCAAGAUGCCAGGCCCUCGUGGAGUCUCAUGGUCAAUGGGAAUACAGAACGCUCCCUCCGAACGGAGGAACAUACAGCGGCUCUCGCGGCAGAAGUACAGAGCAGCCUUUUAAGGCAAUUCUCAAGUCUGGCAGUUAAAAGGCCGGACACAGCAAAGCGCGCCCGGAGCAAUGCCACCCAAGACCACCUGGCGCGAUCAGAGCACGCGUAGCAAUGCGGCCCCAACCCUCGCCCGCGUAUGAUCGCAAGAAUAACACUCCGCGUACAUCAUUACGCUUUGGAGAUACCAUGGGCACAGGGAAAGGGGCACGAUCACAAUGGACCCAGAGUGUGGCUUGACCACGCCAGUUUAUUAUUUUUCUUCUUCUUUUAUACACAGGACUCUGGUAACCAGAAGCCCUGUCCGGUGGCAAACCUGCCGAACUCAUGAUAUAAUAGUCAGGGACUAAAGAAGGCCGCGACGAACAUUCAGGUGGUCUCAAUUACGAACAUUAAAUUCGAUUACAUACACCAAGUCUGCAGCUCAUCCCUGGAGGGGGACAUGUUUAUUUAGUCCAAAUCCCUCGCCUACCGCACUAUUUGUAUCAGUCCGCUGUACUAGCAGACUUUCUUUCAUAAAUAAUGCAGCACCUCUUUAUUACAAUUGCAUUAUCUUUUAUAUAUAUGUUCAUUACAUAACAUCUUGCACCCAUAUAUGUUGGUACGGCUGAAUACGCCAGGGGUUUCUGUUCCCCAAAUUAUGGUGUGAUAAAGUCCGAACACUUUCACAAGUGCGGCACCCCAAACUUAUAGCAUUAUUUGAAUCAGCUCCGAAUCAUGUCUUGGGUCAAUAGUUGGGUUUGCCCGGCUCCCACGUUUUGGUGCCUUACGUUCCGUUCUGUCGGCUAAGGUGGCACUGGGAGAACCACUGCGAUUGUGCCCCGGUUGAGCCGGGUUAACACCUCAGUGGAGAAAGCUAAAACUGACUGACAUGAUAAGGCGAGAGACUGGUCGCUGUUCGAGAGGUUUUUUCGGGUCCUUAAAGACUCACGCCGCUUCGAGCGAAGUUCCGGAUAAUGUCCGAUGAAGGCGUGGAUAGCGCCCCGAAUUCAGUCUUCCGAAUACCAGGGGCUUCGCCGAAAUUUAAAAUUAUAGAAUUCUAUGGCUAAGUGAGAGUGUUCAAGCAUUAUAAGUCCGGUUGCCUUGUUCGUCGUGUUGAGCGCCUCCCUAGAUGGACCCAAAAAUGGGAACAAGAGUGCUCAAGUUUAUCCCGAACACCCCAGCACUUGUGGCUUGGGGGCUGAAGCCAACGACUUGCCAUCUCUCAGAUUUUACAAAUGGCCGCACAGAAGGUAAUAUUUUAAAUUAAACAAGUGUUGCUCAUGGCGCAUAUAAACGAAGUUUUUGGCGCACAGGAUAAAUACACAGCGAGUUCACUCAAAGAUUACAUCUCGAGAGCACUCAUCUGCAUUAUCGCAGCCUCCCUUCAGGACAACUUUAUAAUACCUCUCCGGCGUGCGAUGCUCCUUGCCUGGCGGCGGUGGAUCCGUGAGAAGCUUCUCCGCAUCCCGUUUGCCCCAUUGCACCUUUAUGCGGGCAAGGGCCCGACGAGCGCCUUCGAUACAGGCGGAGCGCUUGACUACAUCCAGCCUGUGGCAUGCGUCUACCAGCCGCCGCACGAGGCCAAAGUAGCUCCCAGGCAUGGCCUGUCCAGGCCACAGCCGGACUAUGAGGCCCUUCAUGGCCUCCUUAGCUACCUUGUGGAGUUCGACCAGCUGCUUCAGCUGGUCGCUUGGGGGCACCGGACGGCCGGCCUCAGAAUACUGAGACCAGAAGACCUUCUCCAUCGAGCUCCCCUCCUCGCCAUGAUAGAAUGCGGCGGCAUCAGACGCACUACGUGGCAGAUCUGCAAACACCCCUGGAGAGCUCCGAAUUCGGGUAAGUGUUAGGUAGUUCACAUUAACAUGCCUGCUUUGCAUGAAAAAUGCCUUACCCGUCGCUAUCUUCUUUAUGUCCUCAACUUCCUGAAGGGCCUUAUGGGCCUCGGCCUUGGCGGACUUGGCACUUUCGAGAGCCGAGGCAAGCUCGGACUCUCGAGUCUUGGAGUCACGCUCCAAACUCUCAUGCUUUUCCAUGAGAGCCUGGAGCUCUUGCCGAACUUCCGCCACCCGCGCCUCUAGCUUUUCUCGCUCAGUCUGUUCCGCGGCCGCACUGCGUUCGGCCGCGGACACAGCAUCCUUUAGGGCUGCCACCUCGUUAGUGGCCCCUGCAAUACACAUAUUAUCCUUGUUAAUUUUAUUUGCAACCAAAACCCUUUUCUGUAAGGUACUUACUUAAAGUGGUGUUAUUCACCUUCUUUUUCCUCGAGCUGCCUCUUGGCAUGGCCGAGCUCUUGCUCGGACCACUCGAGAUCCUUCUUCAGCACCUCGACCUCCGCCGUUCGUGCGGUAGAGGUCAGCAGCGCAGCCUGCAAACCCAUAUUGACAUAUUUUAGGCAACCCUGCGUAUAUCUUGUUAGAUCCUCAGUCCGGCUUUUCUUUCCGAACACCGAACUAAGCAUCAGGGGCUACUAUCUAUGCGGUAUUACAUUACAUAAUUUUAACUUCUUACCUCAAAGCCUGUUAGAAGGCUGCUGCAGGCUUCGGUCAGCCCGCUCUUAGCGAGCUGAACCUUCUCAAUCACCGCACUCAUGAUAGUGCGGUGUUCUUCCUCGAUGGAAGCGCCUUUAAGCGCCUCCAACAGGUUAUCCGGCGCCUCCGGUUGGACGGAGGCCGCCGGCGUCACGGUCCUGCCCUUCUUUCGAAGGGGCCGCUUGCCGGACUCUGGAACCAUUGCGGGUUCCGAUGUAGAGUCCAGCGCAAAGUCCGGGAGGUCGCCUGACGGCGCCUCUGGAGCCUCCUCCUGAUGGGUCCCUCUUUGGGAUCCCACCUCGGCGUCCUCGUCGGCGCGUGGGGUAGAGGCAGUCGGGACGGAAUUUACAUCCGACGAGGCCAAUGACCCGCUCAUUGAGUCGGGGAGAUCGUCACCGGCCGGACUACGGGCAGAAUGCGGCGUUAGAAGGAUACAGCAUGACAUAAAAUAUACGGCAUAUAAAUGAUCCGAAUACUUACGAUCCUGCCGGACGCCUGGCCCUUGGAGGCCACUCAUCCUCGCCAACGUUUAUGUCGGCGAAACUGUCCGGGGGGAUAGUUCUCCCCCUCUUGGACCCUUCGGCCUCCCCGAUUGGGGAAGCCUUCCUCUUCUUCUCUCCCUCCUCCGGGAGGGAAUACUCCUCCUCCUCGUCUUCAGGGGAGGAGUCCUCAUCGUCGUCAGACGCCUGAUUGCGGGAACUCUUUCGAGUCCCCGUGGCCACCUUCUUGGCCUUCUUCUCCGGCACCACGUGCGGUGCCGGAACCAGUAGCCCUGUUAAGCGGGCGUUCACUGGGUCUUCUGGCAUGGGAGCCGGGCUGAUAAGCAGCUUGGCCUUCUCCAUCCAUUCCUGUCAAAGGAAGUGGCAGAAUGAAAUCCCACUAAAAGUUAACUUAAUUAUCACAAGUGUCCCGUAAUGGGGUUGAAUCACUUACCGCGUCAGUCGGACACUGCGAGCUGAAUCCGCGAUCUUCCGUCGCGGAUACGGGGGCUUCGGCGCCCAUGAACAACACCCUCUAGGCGUCUUCGUAUGUUGUAUCGAAAAGCCCGCUUAGCGCCUGGUGCUGUUCCGGAUUGAACUCCCAAAAAUUGAGUGCUCAUUCUUGGCAUGGGAGAAUCCGCCGGAGGAGCAUGACUUGGACCACGUCGAUGAGCCGGAGCCUAUUGCUCACCAUCUUCUUGAUGUAGGCUCGGAGUCCCGUCACCUCCACCGAAUUGCCCCACUGGAAGCCCUUCUCUUUCCAGGAGGUGAGCUGCAUGGGGAUUCCAGAUCUAAACUCGGGGGCCGCCGCCCAUGUGGGCUUGCGCGGCUCGGUGAUGUAGAACCACCCCGAUUGCCACCCCUUGACGGAGUCCACGAAGGUCCCUUCUAGCCAAGGGACGUUGGGCAAUUUGCCCAACAUGGCGCCUCCGCAUUCCGCUUGCGUGCCCUUCACAACCUUCGGCUUGACGUUGAAGGUCUUGAGCCACAGGCCAAAGUGGGGCCGGAUGCAGAGGAAGGCCUCACACACGACGAUAAACGCCGAGAUGUUGAGGAUGAAGUUCGGCGCCAGAUCGUGGAAAUCCAGGCCGUAGUAAAACAUGAGCCCCCGGACAAAUGGAUGGAGCGGAAAGCCCAGUCUACGGAGGAAGUGGGGAAGGAAGACGACCCUCUCAUGAGGCUCAGGGGUAGGGAUGAGCUGCCCCUCGUCGGGCAGCCGAUGCGCAAUAUCGCUGGAAAGGUAUCCGGCGUCGCGCAGCUUGGUGAUGUCCUCCUCCUUGGCGGUGGAGGCUAACCAUUUACCUCCCGCUCCGGACAUAUUCGGAGAAGGUCGAGGCGAGAUGCGCAAGCUUGGGCGUUGGAGCUUGAGUGCGCGGAGAUGGAUAAGCAAAGGAGGAAGAAGGCGUAGGUGAGAAGGUGAAUCCUUAUCCCUUAUAUAUAGGCAGACGAAAACUAUGCGUCCCCCACCGGCCUGUUAAAACUCGCUUAUCUCCCAAGCGCCACCAUCAAUGGCGCGGUUGGGUUACCCACGUCCGUAUUGAUGAGGAUCCCGGAAUAAGGGGAACACGAUCUCUGUUUCGACACGACGUGCCAAGGAAGCCGCUUCGCUAAACGUGCAGAGGUGGUGUAGUAAAAAACAAUUCAAACGAAGGCUUGGUAGCGAUGUGAUGUCACGCCGCAUAAUACGUCAGCAGAUUGAGCUAGUGUAUAUUUUAUUCUCUCUCUACGGUGGAAUGUGGAAAUUAUUUUUGCAGAGCCGGACACUAUCCUGGGUGUUUAUAAUCUUCUCUGGAUUAUUCAAGGGAGGAACCCGCCUUGCAAUGCCGAACAUUAUGCAUGCCGGACUUAUCGUCAUUGAAGACUGGUUCAGGGGCUACUGAGGGAGUCCUGGACUAGGGGGUGUCCGGACAGCCGGACUAUCAUUAUCCGCCGGACUCCAAGACUGCGAAGAUAGAAGAUUGAAGACAUUUGCUCGUGUCCGGAAGGUACUUUCCUUGGCAUGGAAGGCAAGCUUGGCAAUACGGAUAUGUAGAUCUCCUACCAUUGUAACCGACUCUGUGUAACCCUAGCCUCUCUGGUGUCUAUAUAAACCGGAGGGCUUUAGUCCGUAGGACACAACAUACAUUACAACAAUCAUACCAUAGGCUAGCUUCUAGGGUUUAGCCUCCUUGAUCUCGUGGUAGAUCUACUCUUGUACUACCCAUAUCAUCAAUAUUAAUCAAGCAGGACGUAGGGUUUUACCUCCAUCGAGAGGGCCCGAACCUGGGUAAAAACAUCAUGUCCCU
This 8917-nucleotide long non-coding RNA is filed under the name Triticum aestivum (bread wheat). RNAcentral describes it as "long non-coding RNA (TAES_LNC011725)". The record is from RNAcentral. Lineage: Eukaryota; Viridiplantae; Streptophyta; Magnoliopsida; Poales; Poaceae.